UUGGGACAAUUACGAAACCUAUAGGCGAAAUGAAAGUAAAGGCCCGCCUAGCGCGGGCCGAGGGAGGAUGGGUGUUCCCGUAAGGGUCGCCCCGCACUCCCAGGGCGUCUCAUUCUCAUCGCGAGAAGAGGCGCACCAAGAGCGUACACGCUGGGACCCGAAAGAUGGUGAACUAUGCCUGGUCAGGACGAAGUCAGGGGAAACCCUGAUGGAGGUCCGUAGCGAUUCUGACGUGCAAAUCGAUCGUCGGAACUGGGUAUAGGGGCGAAAGACUAAUCGAACCAUCUAGUAGCUGGUUCCCUCCGAAGUUUCCCUCAGGAUAGCUGGCGCUCGCUUCUGGCGAGUCUCAUUCGGUAAAGCGAAUGAUUAGAGGCAUUGGGGUCGAAACGGCCUCAACCUAUUCUCAAACUUUAAAUGGGUGAGAUCUCCGGCUUGCUUGAACUGUGAAGCCGCGAGAUAUCGGAUCAGAGUGCCAAGUGGGCCACUUUUGGUAAGCAGAACUGGCGCUGUGGGAUGAACCAAACGCAGAGUUAAAGCGCCUAAAUCGACGCUUAUGGGAUACCAUGAAAGGCGUUGGUAACUUAAGACAGCAGGACGGUGGCCAUGGAAGUCGGA
This 615-nucleotide ribosomal RNA is filed under the name Diploa sp. DA-2012. RNAcentral describes it as "LSU rRNA". It matches the Rfam family "Eukaryotic large subunit ribosomal RNA", at positions 694 to 1265 of the family's 3401-position model. Lineage: Eukaryota; Metazoa; Arthropoda; Insecta; Coleoptera; Scarabaeidae. The record is from RNAcentral.